Molecule: ribosomal RNA, 450 nt
Filed under: uncultured bacterium
Lineage: Bacteria
Description: partial 16S ribosomal RNA
Rfam family: Bacterial small subunit ribosomal RNA
Source: RNAcentral
CCUACGGGGGGCUGCAGUGGGGAAUAUUGGACAAUGGGCGGAAGCCUGAUCCAGCAAUACCGCGUGUGUGAAGAAGGCCUGAGGGUUGUAAAGCACUUUCAAUAGGAAGGAAUACCUAUCCAUUAAUACUGGGUAGACUGACAUUACCUAUACAAGAAGCACCGGCUAACUCCGUGCCAGCAGCCGCGGUAAUACGGAGGGUGCAAUCGUUAAUCGGAAUUACUGGGCGUCGAGUGGUUAAAGCCGAUGUGAAAGCCCCGGGCUUAACCUGGGAAUGGCAUUUGAUACUGGCGAGCUAGAGUUGAGUAGAGGGGAGUGGAAUUUCAGGUGUAGCGGUGAAAUGCGUAGAGAUCUGAAGGAACACCAGUGGCGAAGGCGACUCCCUGGACUCAAACUGACGCUGAGGUACGAAAGCGUGGGUAGCAAACAGGAUUAGAUACCCCGGUAGUC